RNAcentral lists this ribosomal RNA (1548 nucleotides) under Triticum aestivum (bread wheat). RNAcentral describes it as "partial small subunit ribosomal RNA". The record is from RNAcentral. Lineage: Eukaryota; Viridiplantae; Streptophyta; Magnoliopsida; Poales; Poaceae.
GCCGUCGCUGCCACCGCCUCGACCCGUCACACUCUGCCCCCGAUGGCGAUGGCGACGGCGAUGGGCACGACGGCCGCCACGUACGGGCCACCGAUCACGGCGCCGGCACCCGCCGCAUUCUCUCCUCGCCGCGCGGCCGGCGGGCGGCGUGUGCGGGCGGUGACGGCGAGGCCGCGGCCCCUGUUCUCGCCCCGGGCCGUCUCAGACUCGCGCAACUCCCAGACGUGCCUCGAUCCGGACGCCAGCACGAGUGUUCUUGGGAUUAUCCUCGGUGGUGGCGCCGGGACAAGGCUGUACCCACUGACCAAGAAGAGGGCCAAGCCUGCGGUGCCGCUGGGUGCUAACUACAGGCUCAUUGAUAUCCCGGUCAGCAACUGCCUCAACAGCAAUGUGUCCAAGAUCUAUGUGCUGACGCAGUUCAACUCUGCGUCGCUCAACCGCCACCUCUCGAGGGCCUACGGGAACAACAUUGGUGGAUACAAGAAUGAUGGCUUUGUCGAAGUUCUCGCUGCGCAGCAGAGCCCGGAGAAUCCUAACUGGUUUCAGGGUACCGCAGAUGCCGUGCGGCAGUACUUAUGGCUGUUUGAGGAACAUAAUGUUAUGGAGUUCCUUAUUCUGGCUGGAGAUCACCUGUACCGUAUGGACUACCAAAAAUUCAUUCAAGCACACAGAGAAACAGAUGCUGAUAUUACUGUGGCUGCCCUGCCAAUGGAUGAGGAGCGCGCAACUGCAUUUGGCCUGAUGAAAAUUGACGAUGAAGGGAGAAUUGUUGAGUUUUCAGAAAAACCAAAAGGAGAGAAGUUGAAGGCAAUGAUGGUUGACACCACCAUACUGGGCCUUGAUUCUGAGAGGGCCAAGGAAUUACCUUAUAUUGCUAGCAUGGGAAUCUAUGUUUUUAGCAAAGAUGCGAUGCUUCAGCUUCUUCGUGACAAUUUUCCUUCAGCAAAUGACUUUGGAAGUGAGGUUAUUCCUGGUGCAACAGAAAUUGGAAUGAGGGUGCAAGCUUACCUAUAUGAUGGUUACUGGGAAGAUAUUGGGACUAUUGAGGCAUUUUACAAUGCAAACUUGGGAAUAACCAAGAAGCCAGUACCAGAUUUUAGUUUCUAUGACCGUUCUGCCCCAAUUUAUACACAAUCUCGAUACUUGCCUCCUUCGAAGGUUCUUAACGCUGAUGUGACAGACAGUGUUAUCGGUGAAGGUUGCGUCAUUAAUCAUUGUACAAUCAACCAUUCUGUUGUUGGACUACGCUCGUGCAUAUCGGAAGGCGCAGUAAUAGAGGAUUCCCUGCUAAUGGGUGCAGACUAUUAUGAGACGGAAAAUGACAAGAAAGUCCUUUCUGAAAGUGGCGGCAUUCCCAUCGGUAUUGGAAAAAAUGCACACAUCAGAAAAGCAAUAAUCGACAAAAAUGCUCGAAUCGGAGAAAAUGUGAAGAUAAUCAAUGUUGAUGAUAUCCAAGAAGCUUCAAGGGAGAGUGAUGGAUACUUCAUCAAAAGCGGCAUUGUCACGGUGAUCAAGGACGCCUUAAUUCCUAGCGGGACAGUCAUAUAG